This 824-nucleotide non-coding RNA is filed under the name Lygus rugulipennis. The record is from RNAcentral. RNAcentral also lists the same sequence under 1 other name. Lineage: Eukaryota; Metazoa; Arthropoda; Insecta; Hemiptera; Miridae.
UUAAGUAUAUGAUGUUAUAUAAACUUUAUAUGUUCCGACAAAUAAAUUUACUUGAUUUUUAAUAUGUUUUAUUCAUGCAUAUGGAUUUUAUUUUAUUAGAUGAAUAUAUAUAAGUUUUUGCGUGAUAAAUUUUUUUAAAAAAAUAAUUUUUUAUUCUUAGUUUCUAAUUUUAAUUAUUUAUGAAAUAUAUUAUUUAUUUAUAAUAAAGAUUCAUAACAAAAAUUGUGCCAGCAGUUGCGGUUAUACAAUUGUGGAUUUUAAAUCUUUUUAGUUUAUAUUAAAUUUAUGGUUUAAUAUUUAUUUUUAUAAUUUUUUAGUGAAAUAUUAAUUAUAAUUAUAUUAUUUUAUAUUAAAAUAUAAGAAAGUUAGAUUUAGACUAGGAUUAGAUACCCUAUUAUUAUAACUGUAAAACUAUAACUUAAUCAUUAAUAGAUAUGAUCUUUAAAUUUAAAGAAUUUGGCGGUAAUUUAGCUAUUCAGAGGAACCUGUCCUUUAAUUGAUAAUCCACAAUGAAUUUUACUUUUAUUAGGUUUAUAUAUCUCUAUCAUUGAAUGUCUUUUUAAGGUUUAAAUUUUCUAAAUGGUUUUUUAACCUAAAUGUUAGGUCAAGGUUUAAUAAUAUAAAAGUAGAGAUGGGUUACAUUGUUAUUAUAUGGGGAAUUAUACAUGGAAAUAUAUAUGAAUUUGGAUUUGAUAGUAAAUCACUUUAGAAUAAGUUGUUGAUAUUAGCUCUAGAUUAUGCACACAUCGCCCGUCGCUCCCAACAUAUGUUGGGAUAAGUCGUAACAAAGUAGAUCUAUUGGAAAAUGGAUCUAGAAUGAUUAU